Molecule: ribosomal RNA, 1459 nt
Filed under: Triticum aestivum (bread wheat)
Lineage: Eukaryota; Viridiplantae; Streptophyta; Magnoliopsida; Poales; Poaceae
Description: partial small subunit ribosomal RNA
Source: RNAcentral
CGCCAUCGGCCCCAGACACCACCCACCGCGACCUGCUCCCGACCACCACCCACCACGACCCGCUCCUGGCCGCCACCCACCACGACCCACCCCUGGCCACCACCUACGCCGCCUACCCUGGCUACCCCCUACCGUCGCCUGCCCCACUCCACCCCGUCCGGAUCCGCUGAUGGGACGUGCAUCUUCCAUUGUAGUUCCCACUCUUGACCUCCAGAACCAGAGUGCCGUCCCAUCUCCUGACCUCCAGCGCCGGAGCCCCGCCCCCACCUCGAUCCUGACCUCCUGUCGUCCCGGGCUCCUCCCGCACCCGCGUUAGGCGAAGACGGCCGGCACCAUCGACUGCGGCUAGAACGCAGGGGAGAUGCCCUUUGCGGGUGGCGGCCUAAAUGUCAAACACCACCAUGCUCUUCCCCCUCCAUACUCGUCGCCGGUGCCCUCGUGGCCUUCCCAACCUCCCGCACCUCCAAUUCCUCAACUCCGGUUGCCCCCCAUGGGCUAAAAAGGGCUUCCAGAUCUGCGUCGACCCUGCCCAACGCAGAUCCAACUGCCAGAGGUGGAUCCAAGGGCGCCCGUGCAGUCCACUAUGUGGGACCACGCCUCCGAGCUCGGCCUCUCCCCUCACCUUCUUCCCUGCACCGCCGUGCCGGGCGUAGUUGCCAAGGCUAGAUUCACCAGCCCACUGUGGUGCCGCCCCCGUCCGGAUCUAGCUGGGUCCUUCAGGAUAGAUUCCCCACCUCGGACCUCUCUUCCACCUCUGAUCUCUCUGGUCUUUUGGAUGCUUGCAUUUCAACAAGGCCGCUCUGCAGUCCAAUGACCAUCGCGGUGCAGCUCGGCGAAGCCAGUGAUGUGGUACACUUGCAAAAUUGUGUAGUUUUUGCUUGCAGGUAGUGUGUGCUGCUUCAGGUGAGCUCGCCUCCGUGCAGACCACCGGCACGUCUGUGCAGUGCGUCCCAUGCAUGUGUGUAGUCUAUGGUGCAUUCUGAAUGAAGUUUGUGGGGAGACAUGUGUUCAGAAAAUACAGUUUGGAGUAUCUGCACAUGUAGUGCAAACGCUAGUUUUUGUGUUUGUGGAUUUUUUGUAUAAAGAUUACAAGGAGUCAUUUUGAUUUGCAGUGAAACAUGGUGAUGUUCAGACAUGAGCAUGCAGUUUGGACCAUGUGGACAUGUAGUGCAAGAAUGGUGUUUUCCGUGUUUGAUAAUUUGAUGUAUAGAAGUUAUAUGGACUCGUUUGAAAAUUGUUUACAAAGGAAGUUCAUUUCGAGUUGUGUUGCGACUCAUUUCCCUUACCAUGUGGUUCGCUUCUUCGCACGUGUACAACUCGCCAAUGUGGAAACCCAAAACUCCAAACAGAAAAAAGAAAGAAGGAAAUGCAGUGCAAAGAUGUGUUAAAAGAAAAAUGGUAGUGAAACAAUAACAGAAGUAAUGAUGUUCACUUGACCAUUUGAAGCAGUGUGGUCGGC